GGGCGGAUGUAGCCAAGUGGAUCAAGGCAGUGGAUUGUGAAUCCACCAUGCGCGA
RNAcentral lists this transfer RNA (55 nucleotides) under Ligularia intermedia. Its description in RNAcentral is "partial tRNA-His". It matches the Rfam family "tRNA", at positions 1 to 50 of the family's 71-position model. Rfam says of the family: Transfer RNA (tRNA) molecules are approximately 80 nucleotides in length. Lineage: Eukaryota; Viridiplantae; Streptophyta; Magnoliopsida; Asterales; Asteraceae. The record is from RNAcentral.